Anguilla anguilla (European eel) is the source of this 8455-nucleotide long non-coding RNA. RefSeq lists it as uncharacterized. The record is from RefSeq and is a predicted model, not a curated record. The transcript has 3 exons. Lineage: Eukaryota; Metazoa; Chordata; Actinopteri; Anguilliformes; Anguillidae.
ACUGCACCAGUUCUUGCGCUAUGGUAGAGAAUGACUGAUGAAUCGCCUGCAAUGCUUUUCUUUAGUGUUUCUGCGUCACAAUAGUCGGUUUAUUUCUGAGUUAUAUUCUAUAUAGGUUCGCUGUUCUAUUAGGUUUCUUUGUGAAAAAUAUUUAUUUCGUUUCUUAGCUAAGACGAAUUACUUCAGGUAGUGUAACUUUAGUGUUAACUGCGGUGUCAAAGUGAGUGUCAUUAGCUGGCUAGGUUUUUUUUUUUUGGUUCAAAAAGCAACUGAAACCUAUGGUAAGACGUUUUUUUUACCAAUACUAAGCCAACUUAAAUUUGAAAACGCAGUUGAGGACACCGCGUAACAAAUUUACCCUAAGUGCGGUAUGUAUUUAGUCCGCUAACGGCGUUGAUUCUAGCCAACGUAAGUUACUGUAAGAGAUUACAUCACGUUAGUUAAGAUGAAUUCUCUUUCAUUUAUUUUUGGUAAUUUUUGGCGGAAAAUGUACACUACGUUGUAUUUUAGGUUUGGUAUUACAUAGCUAUCAAUUUAAAUGCAGCUAAAAUAACGUUAAAUUGUAGUUACGCAGUUGAAGGAAGAUGCUAGCCAAUAGCAUUAACAAAAUGGCGCCGAGUAGCGACCUUUAAAAAGGGUGUGGCUUCUAGCCUCGAAAAUUCCAGACCAUAACCGAUUUAUCUUUAUAUAGCGUCAAAAGCCAACCUAGUCAUUAUACGUGUGUGAGGGAGGCAAUUUCGUAGUUGGUUCAAAUUCGUUUUAAUGGCAUCCAUUUACUUGCCGUUUAAUUCAAUUAUUGAAUCUUGUCCGAUGUUGUACAGCGUUACCGAUCUGGUAAAAUAAUUGAGGAAAUCUGAGUAGGAGGAGCCUUAAAGUAAGCUUGCCUACAUUUAUAUCAGUGGUGUUGAAGGACGUCGGAAUGCAAUUUCAGAAGAGCUGCCACAAUGUCACGUCUAAUCCCGUUUCUUGAAUUUGAAUUUAAAAUCCAUUGAGAUGAAGACCAGUCUGAAGAUGUUUGUAUACGGCUUGAAAUAGCUUUAUAUAUAUUGAAGAGGCAUUAAAUGAAGUUUGAAAGUCUAAUGAGCUUGAAGCAUGUUACCAGUGAAAGUGAUCUUGAGCUUUUAGAAGUGCCCAGCUGUGAAGACAAGUUGCCAUGGUAUUGGCGUAAUUGUUGCCUCCAGUGGUUGCCAUACGAAGUGCAUCUAACAGAAGAUUUAAUUAGUUCUGGCUAAACAAAAUUAGGGUGCUUUCAAAGGAAAAUGAGAAGGGCUAGUGUUGACAACCUAGCUUGUGCCAUUUUAUUUCUUAAAUAAUGGGACUGGUAUGCUACAUAGUGGUGAAGAGAGAAGAUUUUUUUUUAAUUUAAUUUUUUCGUUAAAAAAACAAACCAAAAAAAAAUUCCAGAGGCAGGACUGAGUUUGCGAUCGUGUGGAAGGCUGGACUUUGUAGAGGUUGGUGACCCAGGGAAGGAGCGUAACGGGAUCGGAGGGAAAGCGGGCAGGAUCAGGAGGAGCAGCACCAGUGUAAUCCAGAGGACAGCAGGCCAGAGCGCAGCGGGUAGCGUCAGCAAAGAGGAGGCGUCUGCGUGCGGUGUCCCAUGGUAGUCCCCAAGCGAGCAAGCAGGUUCCUGGCAGUGGCACAGAGGGGGGAGUCAGAGGGCAAGCAGCACAGCUGAGACCCCGUCACCUAGCUACAUGAUCACAGAAGUGUUGGGUUUGUAUAUUGGGUUGAGGUAUUGCUGUAACGUUCAGCAUAAAAUCUAGUCCUUAAAAAAACCAAAACCUAGUUUUUCGGAACACUUGCUCGCGUAGUCUUUUGUUUCUUCUUUUUACAGGCAAGGUGCGUUAAAUAAGUGUCUGGUUCCGUCACCACCAUGUGCCCGUUGUCAUUCGCCAAGUGUGGUCUCCGUGUGCCGUGAUGAGUCCGUUGGUAGUUCCCCCGGGGCUAAAUGUCGUCUCCCCUGCGCUGGUUAUGGACUCCUCUUCCCUGCACUGGUUGCGUCCCAGAGGGCGGAUCGUCUUGUCGGACAUCUCAUCCCCCUGUGUUCAGAUGUAGUCUUCGGGCCGGAGAGCAUCCUAUUGUCCCCAUAGGUCCCUUCCUGUGCAGUGGUCAGCACUGGAGAUUGUCGGAUCUGCAGCCAUCCCCCCUGUACCACAUCACCUACUUUGGCAACAGAGCAGUCAAGUGAGCUGGUAAAAGCAAGUAGUACAUUGUGCAUGAGGUAGAAUAUUUGAGAGGGAGUAACUUUAUGAAUUUGGAGUGGACUUAAAACUUGUACAUACUGAGAAAUGACAAGGAGCAACUGUUCCUUGCUUAGUCUAUCUUGAAUGAGGAGAUGCCUUAUACAUGAUGCCUCAUGUAUUAGUUUGGACAUUAUGUGGAAUAGGGGGAGGGAAAAUGGGGGUCUUGAGUUCUUCUUUCCACAGGUUCCUCAGUUUUAGGCGACUACCAAAGAUAACACUGAUGGAGGAGUACCUCUGGCUUGUUUGGCACCUCAGCACUUUAACGUCCUUCUAUAGUGUGGGUCCUGUGCAAUCAGGUUGAGUCCAUCUGCAUAAAAUGGCUGUUCAGGAUGGCAACAGGUGAAGUCUGCAUUUAAUGCAUUGUGGGUUGACAAAAACGUCCACUUGAAGUAGAAGUGCCUUCUGACUGGCAUCCAUGCCAUUUUGAAAAUCCCCGCAUACUCUGUAAUGUUUAGUCGUAUUUCGUGUUGUGGUGUGUCAAAUGUCGUGUCCUGGGGGGAGGGGGAGGGUGGGGAGGCUAACCUGAAUCUUUUCCUAGACUCUUUCAGCUCCUCACGUAAAGCAGUUUAAAAAUAAGCUGAGUGGAAGGGUAUGAAUAGGAAUGACUGGGAAGAAACCACCCAAGGGUCCCACGUCAUCUGGCAGUCAUCCGUAUGUGCUCUUGUUCAAGUGAAAAGGUGUGACGUAAUGACACCCAAUCAUCCAGAAGUCUGGUACUUGAAGCAAUUAGGAUAUCCAGAUGCUCAACAUGGUUGUCCACAACAAAAAGCGGUAAAAGUUGAAAAUCGGAAAGAUACUGGGAUUUGGGCAAAGUGGGUGGUGGGGCUGGGAGUUACUUACUUGUGAAAGACUCUUCCAGAUGUUAAAAAUAAUCCGCCCCCCCCAAGAAAAGCCACCGCCGAUCCAGUAUUAAAUCUACCAGCCUUCCGUGGAGAACAGCUGGGAGCAUAAGUGUUUUUCCGUUCACAUUCGUACGGCAAGUAAACGAGCAUUGUCUGAAAUGUAUUGUUUUAGAGUUGCGUAUUUUGGUAGUCUGCAUUUUGUGGACCUCAGUUUUGAAAUGGAUUUGUUAUAUUUUAAAAACCAUUUGAAAUCUUGUGAACCAGUAGUUUCUGGAUGGGGUCAAUCUGGGGGUGGUGGGAGGUCUGUUUCCCUCUUUGCCUUUUGCAGUUUUCCUUGUGGCCGGUGAUUAAUUUUCAGGACCAACCGGAUCGGUCAGCUCCUAGUUUGCUGUAUGUAAAGGUUAACUUUCGCUAAUGUAACUCCCUCCAAUUUUGAGAUUCAAGACUUCAAAAGGUAUUAUCUUUGAAUAAUUACACCUAAUAUGCAUGGAUAUUGUACUGUACAUUUAAAGGGAAUGUUUCCCUCAAUUUCCGUUCACCUGUAAAGUUGUAAAUGUUGCUGUUGCGUUGGAGAAUUCUCCCCGUAAUGUAAAAUUAAAAGCACAUUGAACAUAAAAAUAAAUACAUAGCCUGUUGUGAGUGGUUUUGGUAUGCAUUUGUCUUUUUGGGAUUUGGGGGGGGGUCGUUCUUCUGCUUAACUUUUUCAGGUACGCUUUUAAAUCGUGGAGCUUUGUAGAGCACUGUGUCCGGGGCUUGGUAGCAGCUCUUUGAAGGUGGAAUUGGAGGCAGAUAAGUCACUUGCCAUGUAGAUGCCAUUUAAAGUCAUAGGAGAAAGAAUCAUGUUUGAAAAGAUGAUGGAAACGAGAUGUGUGAAGAAUGAUGGGCCUUAAUGGCACCCAGAAUGCAAGGAACCUCAAUGAUAAGCUUUACAGUGGAGAACAUGCUGGUGUGUGUGGACGUUGUGCAAUUUCUCUCCCUUCAAAACAAAGUCUUUAGAGUCUUGAAACGGACAAGCCAAUGGGAGGACUCAACAUGGAAAAUCCUAAAGUUAAGUUUAUAAAAAAUAAAAAAAAAACUAAAAUAUAUAUUUUAAAUCUCAAUCUCGAGGUAAUCUUGAGUAGAAAUUGUGUAACUUAAGUGGGGUUGGGGAUAUUCAUUUGUAUUGGAGGGCGGGAGGGGCGGAUUCUGUUUGCUCUCAAUCUUCCAGAAUCUUGCAACUUGGAAGAAGGCCAACUGCCAGGAAAGUGUGACCACAGGGAUCGGCAGCCCUUUCAACUUCAGUAUCUUGUCAGGCAGGACGGUUUUAACCAUUUCCCCCAAAAAAAUGCUUGAUCAGUGCAAGUUGGCAGUCUUUGCUUUAAUGUUGACUUGGCUACCAGCACUUGUGCAAAUGUGUAGGUGCAGUUUAGUUGAGUUGUCUGCUGUGCAAAUGUGCAGUUUUAGUGAAGUUUGCAGUCGUGCAACUGUGCGACGCUAAAAUCUGAUGGGUAGCCGAGGGAAGCCGUGCAACUGUGCAGUUUCAACUAAAUUGUGUUCGCAUUGCAACUGUGAUGCUGGUUAAUAUUGAGGCUUGCAGUAGGGAUGUUGGUUAUUGUGAGGGGGGUGGGGUUUGUGUAUUCUAGAAUUUCUUUCUUCGCAGAGUCGUAAUUUGCGUCCACACAGACAGCAGCUACAGAUUGCAAGUCCACAAGAAGUUUCCUCGUCUGAAGUUGCUAGUAAGAAUCGAUUGCUAAAGUGGUGGUCCCAUUGAUCGCAAGCUGGAAGGCCUAUAAAGGUCCAUUUCAAUUUGAAACAAUGUUUUCCUGUUGUGACAUCUUAAGGUGAGCUGUUCAGCUUUUCUUAACAUCCAUCAAUGAGGGAAAUUCAUUUCCACAUGCAACGCGCUUAAUUAGCAUUUGCAUUCUCACUUGCUUCACUAUUGUGUCGCUUUGCAUCUAAUUUAACACAUCUAACAUGUUUCUGAUACACCACAUGAAACACAGUUUUCGUUAAAUGUAUGCGUUGGGGGAGAAUGUGGGGAAGUUGUUUGUCUUUCAGAUUGUUUCGGCUGUUGCCCACUUUGGUCACCCCUGCAUCUAUGUGCAAAGCUGUCUGGGAGCUAAUGGCAAGUGAAUGUCCCCUUGAUGAAUGAAGACGUUUCCUCUCACUCCUGUGUGCUUGAGCUUGAACCUACGAGGAGGAUCUUUUUCUGUGUGUUGUGUUUUCCGUUCUUUGGUUUCCCAAACAGGAAUUUACCAUGUAUCAAAUUGUCAUGAAUGCAAGAUUGGCUGGAAUAUGGCUUCCAGGAUGCGCUAACAGCGUGAUGAAUCGGUGGGAGAUCUUUCAAUUUGAUUUCAGCUAAAAGCCACAAGCUUGUCUUGCUGCUAAUUAAGCUCUUUCUGCAGUUGCUUUGGGCUAAGUUAAGUAACCUCUGUUUCCUUAAUUUGUCCACAACUUUGUUAGGAGCUUUCUGUGAUCUAAGCAUGCACCUGAAAUUUACAUGCAUUAAUCUGUAGACCUGCAGUGACUAAACUUCAUAAAUUAAAUUGGCAAAUGCCAAUGUAAACGUUUUUCUGAAAGUACUGUAGCGGGAGUAGAUCUGCGAUUGGUUGGGGUGGGGGGGUGGGGUUGUUUGGGACAACAUUUUCUUAUUUCUUUGCAGAAACUCUUUAAAAUGAAUCGGCAUGAUUGACUCCCGGAAACGUCAACCUAGCGUGCAUCUUGAUUCCUGCUGGAAGGGGAUGGCCGUUGUCUUCCGUUUCUUGAUCAUUUUUACAGGUUAAAGGCAAACCGUCCAACUGCGUCAAAGUAUUUCCUUCGUAUAGAUGGGAGACAACCGUGGGGAAUGCAGAUUGGGUCUCUGGGGGUUUUCCCCCCCCCUCAUUUGCAUUUCAGAUACUUAACUUCAUGCCCUGUAAGGCUUCCUUUUGACACCUACCGUAAAUUGGAGGACAUGGUCAAGGAUGGUGGCUGUAAGUGUGUAUUGAAAAAUUGUACUUUGUAAUCUUUGGAAAUAAUUUGGAAAAACUGGUAUAUCCAGCUUGGUUUUUGGUUGUAAUUGUGCAAGAUUUACAAGUGUGUUGCUAGUGCUUUGGGAUAACUUGUUACUGGAAAUGGGGUUUUUUUUGUUUUUUUUCCCCUAAUUGGGGGGGUGGGGGGGUUGUAAAUUCUUCAUAUGGUUUAUCUUCCAGCGCCUUUUUUUGAAGAUUCUGUGAUUCAAAGCAAGCCUAGUUUGACACCUGCGUGGACUGAAAUUGCAAUAGUAACAAUCUCAUUCUUUCUGAAUUCUCUGCGCCAUGCAGUCUGCUGGUGGCUUACUUCUGAUUGUUGAAAUUCUCAUUUUGUGUAACCUAGGAUUUUGAGUGAAAUAAGCGCAAGGUAGCAUUUCUACUGGUAUAUUGGGAGAUUUCCUGGGGGUUUGGGGUGGGAAAUGGCAACCCGUUUGUCCUCUAGUUGCAGGGUCCGCGUGAGGGAAGAACCGACCGUAGAGCGGAGCAAAUUUCAGAAACCGUGACUUCAUUUCUUUACUUCUCAGAUGUUAAAUUUUAUAGAUUAAUUUCAGCUGUAGGUCUCAGUCUUACAGUGGACAAUCUGGUCAUUGAGCCUGAACCGUUGGGAAAUGGAAAUGAGCGGUUUUAUGAAUUUACAAGGUAAAGGGAAAAUAGUAAUCAUUCGGUCCCAUUUUAAUAAGCAAUAAAUUGUAAUUCGAGCACCUGAAUUUACCCCUGGUUAUGUACUUUAAUGUACAGACAUUGUACGGUGUUGAACAUUUUAUCACUACGUUUCCCCACCUUCCCACCACAUUUUUUAAAAUCAUAUACAUUAUACAUUUCAUAAUCAAAGCGUUUCAUCAAUAGUGUUACAGUGAUGUCUUUUUUUAGGUCAACCGGGACGUUUCUUCCGCAAUGGGUUCCCUCCGCAGAUUUCCCCUUGCUACAAGGUUCAUUUUAAACUUGAUGCUCGAGCCGUCCCAGUCAACUGUAAGUGCUGUUAUUGUGAAGGGGAAAGGUCUAGGAGCAGUGAAGCUGUAGGCCACUCAAGCUCACAGAACGGGCCUGCUGAAUGCUGAAGCGGAUGUCCUCGGUUGCAACACUCACUACCGAGUUCCAGACUGCCUCUGGAAGCAACGUCAGCACAAGAACUGUUUGCUUCAUGAAAUGGGGUUUCGUGGCCAAGCGGAAAAAAUACAUCAGCCUCAAGUGGUAGCAGAAAUGUUCAUUAUGCUUCCCAGUAAGAAUACUUGGACACAGUUGCGCUAGGUUUAAAAGUAAAACUUAAUUUAGUUAUAACUUUAUAGUGUAGUUAUGAUGGUCACAUAAGAAACAGGUUUAACAUUUAUUCUUAUUUUACUCUUAACUCCUUAAAUAAUUAUAUUGUGUGUUUUCAUAAGACUCUGUCUAUCUAUUCGGUGUGAGGCAGAAGGAAGCAGUUUUUGUGAUCUGUAUGGGAAGAGAAUUCACCAGCACUCUCUUCUUAAUGAUGUUCCAAACAGUUGAUUUUGGUAAACCUGUGUUUGGCCUAUGUCUCUGAUUGUUUUAUAUUACCCAUCCUCAUAAUGGCUUCCUUGUCAUUGGUUCUUGCACUGACAAAUUCCAAUUACAGACUCCAAAGCAAUUGAAAACCUAGAAUCAAGAGUAGAUACUGAAGCUGGUCUUACACUUGCAGUAAAGAAGCAAUUGAGCACACCUGACUAAUGGGGAUUGGUUGAUUUAUAAAAAGUUUGGUCAUUUCUAUAUGGUGAAACCAAAAUGUAUUAAAACCCUUCAAUAUAAGCUGAUAAUCUGCAAUUUAACCACAUAUGAAUUGCCUGAUUACAAAUCUAAAAUUUUGGCACACAGAGCCAAAUAAAGAAAAAAUAUGGCUUUGUCCUAAAUGUUAUGGUGCUCAAUAUGUAUGUAGGGUUGUUCAUGAUUCCUGUUAACAUUUAUAUUAACAGGUUGUAUAUUAUCCAGCAAGAAUUCCUACCUUUGUCUACCUUUUCUUUCCUGUAGUGGCAAAUUCUAGAUCUGUAUCUUGAAAAAAAGAAAAAACAUCUGCAGAGGACUGAUCACAAGAAUGCCCUUCUAUUGUAAAGCAAGAUGUUUGAAUUGCCUUACAACAGAUCAUUUUAAAUUGUUUACAACAUUUUAAAUAUGUUGUACAAAUGUAAAAUGUAUUAUGGGUCUGACUCAAGUAAAUUGUUGAAUACACCAGAAGAUAUGUGUACAAACCUUCAGCUAAGUAGCAAAUAAUUGGUGAAAGAAUGACAUUACAGGAUGAUAACUGUCCAAAGCAUGCAUGCAAGUUUUAAGAAAAUUUAAAACUUCUUCUAUUUUCAGUGGAAUUUGUCCAUGCAUUGUGCGAUGUAAUUAAUUUCCCCGUGGAAAUAAAUAAAGCUUUUUUAAUUGAAUU